CAAGCAGCACAGCACACAAGUUCUUCCAUCGUCCAGGGUCAAGAAACACAGUAGGUCACAAAAAGACAAAGGCAAAGUUUCGUUUCUUCUCAUCGAAGAAGAACAUGGGACACAACGAGAAGCCCAAGAGAUCCCGGGGAAGUCGAGAGGCCGAUGACUCGAGCAGCACUACGAACGAAAAAAGCAGCUUGAUGCCUCCCCCCACCGCCACCAAGCAAGUCGAGAAGUAGCUCUAAUGGCGUGGAGUACACGCGUUCGACACCUCCAUUGCCGAGUGCUCUGCACAUCACGGCGCCACAGACUACGCGCCACCAACCCAGCCGCAACUCCAAGAAUUCCGACAAGACAGUCAUCUCCCUUGAUGUUGACGCUCCGCCACUAGGGCACCUGGAGGACAAACUUGACGACGUGCUGCCGCACGUGCCUAUGAGCCGCGGCAUGGAGCAACUCUUAGACCAGGUGAUGGAAAACAUGGACCGAGAUGAGCCGGCCACCAAAUCCGCACCUCCGGCCAAGUCUAGUUCGUUGGCGAAGCACACGCCCCCGGCAACGAGUGAUCCAGCUGCGAAUUCUUCAACUGUGGCAGGGAGCGAUCUCAUCGUAAAACCCGCCUCCCUGGUGACAAAGCCCGCUUCUUUAACCACAUCAACAUGCACCCCCGAAGUGGACAAAAAGCUAUCAAUGACAAGGAUGUUGGGGUAACUACAAAGAAACCUAGGCCAUCUGCUUGUGAUGUCUCCAGCAAAACAACUAAUCUAGAAGACUUUUAUUCUCCUGAGGCAAAGGAACUCCGGGAACAAAUUGAGCAACACCAGAAUAUCCUUGCUGGGGAAAACACUCUGCUCGAGAAGCUCAAAGUCCCUCCAACUAAUAACAUCUCAACGCCAAGCCUUGCUCCCGCCCGGAAUAGCAACAAAGUACAUCUCAAUAGGACUCAAAGGUGGCCGAGUCGUACACAAGACGCCGUGCGGAGGCGGCUGCCUUCCUGGCCGCCGGCGGAAAGCUUCCGGAGAUCGCGACGAUCCUAGCAUACAAAGCUCCUGAGUGAGGGAGCGGACUAGAGAUCAUAGACUGCUCUGCAAAAGCUGCACUUAGUUCAAAUAGGUUCUAUCUUAGUUAAAUAUAAUUUGUCUUAGCUCAUCCAGAACAAAGUUUGAU
This is a long non-coding RNA of Triticum aestivum (bread wheat), 1158 nucleotides long. RefSeq lists it as uncharacterized. The transcript has 4 exons. Lineage: Eukaryota; Viridiplantae; Streptophyta; Magnoliopsida; Poales; Poaceae. The record is from RefSeq and is a predicted model, not a curated record.